Molecule: ribosomal RNA, 143 nt
Filed under: uncultured marine bacterium
Lineage: Bacteria
Description: partial small subunit ribosomal RNA
Rfam family: Bacterial small subunit ribosomal RNA
Source: RNAcentral
GGGAUUGGCAUGGGCGCAGCCUGAUCCAGCCAUGCCGCGUGUGUGAAGAAGGCCUUAGGGUUGUAAAGCUCUUUCAGUAGGGAGGAAAGGCUAAUGUUUAAUACGNCAAUAGYUAUGACGGUACCUUCAGAAGAAGCACCGGC